UGUGAUUGUAAUUUUUUUGUGUUGUUAUAUAUGUUUGGAUGUUUUGUUAUUAUGAUUCGUUGGUGGUUGAUAUCCUACUUAUUGUGUUAUGAAUUUUGAAUGAGUUUUUUCGUGUAUCUAUUUAGUGUAUUUGUUAUAUUGUAUUUAAUAUUUUAGUUUAUUUUGUACUUUUGUUGAGAGAUAAUUUUACACUUGGGACACCCUUUUGAAUAUGUAUUUAUUUCUUUGUAUGUCUCCCUAUAUGGGUUGUGCCAAGUGAAAAUUUUGUAAUGUAAACUUACUAUAAAUGUAAGGUAUAGAGUGUGGCCUGGAAAGGUUGAGUGAAUUUUUGUAAUGUACAACUCACAAAUCAUGUAAGCUGAAAAUGAGGGUAAAAGUUGGGAGAUUCAGCUUCUUGAAAUUGAAUCAAUAUUGAUAUUUACAAGCAUGAAGAAAUUUUAAUAGCUAAUGUAUUAUUUAAAUUAGAAAUUUUUGUUUGAAUGAUAUUGUACUAAUGUGAUACAAGUGUGAACAAAAUUUUAAAAAUAUUUUGCAGGUUGUAUUGAUUCUUAGCAAGCUUGCUAAAUUUAGAAGUCUUUACUUCUCUUGGAACAUGAGGUACUAUUUAUCGGUAUAUUUUUUUUAUUCUUAUUUGUUUCUACCUUAAAUUUUUGUUUGAGAACACAGGUUUGACAAAAGUAGCAACCUUUAAGAAAAGGGAGGUAGUAAGAAUGUAGUGGGAUUUGGAUUUUGUGAUAGAUUUGGAUAGAAAAAGAAUUGUAAAUACCUAUAGGCGUAGAAGAGGGCUAGUUUUAUAAGUACUAAAUAUUUAGGAAAAUAAUUAUAUUAUAUUAUAUUAUAUUAUAUUAUAUUAUAUUAUAUUAUAUUAUAUUAUAUUAUAUUAUUAUGUAAUAUACGUAAUAUACAUGUGUAUCUACACAUUAUAUUACAUAAAUAUAUAUUAUAUAAAAUGCGUUAUAUAUAUUUACGCAUUGUUAUUAAACUUUGUUUGGAAUAUUGUAAUUUUUUUGAAUGUGUUAUAUAUGUGUUAUUUUUUUUGUUAUUGUGUGAUGUUUCGAUUGAAUAUUGUAAUAUUUGUUUUCAAUGUGAUGUUUCAUCGGAAUAUUAUAAUUUUUUUGAUUAAUGUUGAUUUUGUUUGUGAAUGUGAUGUUUCGUUGAUAAAUGUGAUUGUAAUUUUUUUUCCUGUUGUUAUAUAUAUGUUUGGAUGUUUUGUUAUUAUGUUUCGUUGGUGGUUGAUAUCCUACUUAUUGUGUAAUUUAUUUUGAAUGAAUUUUUUCGUGUAUCUAUUUAGUGUAUUUAUUAUAUUGUAUUUAAUAUUUUAGUUUAUUUUGUACUUUUGUUGAGAGAUAAUUUUACACACUUGGGACACCCAUUUGAAUAUGUAUUGAUAUUUCUUUGUAUGUCUUUCUAUAUGCGUUGUGCCAAGUGAAAAUUUUGUAAUGUAAACUUACUAUAAAUGUAAGGUAUAGAGUGUGGCCUGGAAAGGUUGAGUGAAUUUUAGUAAUGUACAACUCUCAAACCAUGUAAGCUGAAGAUGGGGAUAAAAGAUGGGAAAUUCAGCUUCUUGAAAUUGGAUCAAUAUUGAUAUUUACAAGCAUGAAGAAAUUUUAAUAGCAAAGGUAUUAUUUAAAUUAGAAAUUUUGUUUGAAUGAUAUUGUACUAAUGCGAUAUAAGUUUGAACAAAAUUUUAAAAAUAUUUUGCAGGUUGUAUUGAUUCUUAGCAAGCUUUCUAAAUUUAGAAGUCUUUACUUCUCUUGGAACAUGAGGUACUAAUUAUCGGUAUAUUUUUUUUAUUCUUAUUUGUUUUUAACUUAAAUUUUUGUUUGAGAACACAUGUUUGACAAAAGUAGCAACCUUUAGGAAAAGGGAGGUAGUAAGAAUAUAGUGGAAUUUGGAUUUUGUGAUAGAUUUGAGUAGAAAAAGAGUCGUAAGUAGGUAUAGGCGUAGAAGAGGGCUAGUUUUAUAGAUUCUAAAUAUUUAGGAAAAUAAUAUAAUAUAAUUAUAUUAUAUUAUAUUUAUAAUUAUAUUAUAUUAUACUGUACUAUACUAUACUAUACUUUAUUAUAUUAUAUUAUAUUAUAUUAUAUUAUAUUAUAUUAUAUUAUUAUGUAAUAUACGUAAUAUACAUGUGUAUCGAUACACAUUAUAUUACAUAAAUAUAUAUUAUAUAAAAUGUGUUAUAUAUGUUUACACAUUGUUAUUAAACUUUGUUUGGAAUAUUGUAAUAUUUGUUUUGAAUGUGAAAUUUCGUCGGAAUAUUAUAAUUUUUUUGAUGAAUGCUAAUUUUGUUUGUGAAUGUGAUGUUUCUUUGAUAAAUGUGAUUGUAAUUUUUUUGUGUUGUUAUAUAUGUUUGGAUGUUUUGUUAUUAUGUUUUGUUGGUGGUUGAUAUCCUACUUAUUGUGUUAUGAAUUUUGAAUGAGUUUUUUCGUGUAUCUAUUUAGUGUAUUUGUUAUAUUGUAUUUAAUAUUUUAGUUUAUUUUCCCUCUAUAUGGGUUGUGCCAAGUGAAAAUUUUGUAAUGUAAACUUACUAUAAAUGUAAGGUAUAGAGUGUGGCCUAGAAUGGUUGGGUGAAUUUUUGUAAUGUACAACUCACAAACCAUGUAAGCUGAAGAUAAGGGUAAAAGAUGGUAGAUUCAGCUUCUUGAAAUUGGAUCAAUAUUGAUAUUUACAAGCAUGAAGAAAUUUUAAUAGCAAAGGUAUUAUUUAAAUUAGAAUUUUUUGUUUGAAAGAUAUUGUAUUAAUGCCAUAAAAGUUUGAACAAAAUUUUAAAAAUAUUUUGCAGGUUGUAUUGAUUCUUAGCAAGCUUGCUAAAUUUAGAAGUCUUUACAUUGGAAAAUGAUGUACUAUUUAUCGGUAUAUUUUUUUUAUUCUUAUUUGUUUCUAACUUAAAUUUUUGUUUGAGAACACAGAUUUGACAAAAGUAGCAGCCUUUAAGAAAAGGGAUAUAUAUAGUAAGAAUGUAGUGGCAUUUUAAUUUUGUGAUAGAUUUGGGUAGAAAAAGAGUCGUAAGUAGGUAUAGGCGUAGAAGAGGGUUAGUUUUAUAGGUUUUAAAUAUUUAGGAAAAUAAUUAUAUUAUAUUAUAUUAUAUUAUAUUAUUAUGUAAUAUAUGUAAUAUACAUGUGUAUCGAUACACAUUAUAUUACAUAAUUAUAUAUUAUAUAAAAUGUUUUAUAUAUGUUUACGCAUUGUUAUUAAACUUUGUUUGGAAUAUUGUAAUUUUUUUGAAUGGUCUUGCUUGAUGAAUAUGUUAUAUAUGUGUGUUAAUUUUUUAUUUUUUUUGUGUUGUUAUAUAUGUUUGGAUGUUUUGUUAUUAUGUUUUGUGUAUUUAUUUAGUGUAUUUGUUAUAUUGUAUUUAAUAUUCUAAUUUAUUUUGUACUUUUGUUGAGAGAAUUUUACACUUGAGGCACCUUUUGAAUAUGUAUUGAUAUUUCUUUGUAUGUCUCUUUAUAUGGGUUGUGUAAAGUGAAAAUUUUGUAAUGUAGAAUUUACUAUAAAUGUAAGGCAUAGAGUGUGGCCUGGAAAGGUUGAGUGAAUUUUUGUAAUGUACAACUCACAAACCAUGUAAGCUGAAGAUGAGGGUAAAAGAUGGGAGAUUCAGCUUCUUAAAAUUGGAUCAAUAUUGAUAUCUACAAGCAUGAAGAAAUUUCAACAGCAAAGGUAUUAUUUAAAUUAGAAAUUGUUGUUUGAAUGAUAUUGUACUAAUGCGAUACAAGUUUGAAUAAAAGAUUAAAAAUAUUUUGCAGGUUGUAUUGAUUCUUAGCAAGUUUGCUAAAUUUAGAAGUCUUUACUUCUCUUGGAACAUGAGGUACUAUUUAUUGGGAUAUAUUUUUUUAUUCUUAUUUCUUUCUAACUUCAAUUUUUAUUUGAGAACGCAGGUUUGACAAAAGUAGCAGCCUUUCUUAAAGAGAAAAGGGAGGUAGUAAGAAUGUAGUGUGAUUUGGAUUCUUUGAUAGAUUUGGGUAGAAAAAAAGCCGUAAGUAGGUAUAGGCGUAGAAGAGGGCUACUUUUAUAGGUUCUAAAUAUUUAGGAAAGUGAUUAUAAUUAUAUUAUAUUAUAUUAUACUAUACUAUACUAUACUAUACUAUACUAUACUAUUUUAUACUAUACUAUACUAUACUAUACUAUACUAUACUAUACUAUACUACAGUAUAUUAUAUUAUAUUAUAUUAUAUUAUAUUAUACGUAAUAUACAUAUGUGUCCACUUUAUAAUAUAUAAAUAUAUAUUAUAUAAAAUGUGUUAUAUAUGUUUACACAUUGCUAUUAAACUUUGUUUGGAAUAUUAUAAUUUUUUUGGAUGGUCUUGCUUGAUGAAUGUGUUAUAUAUGUGUUAUAUUUAUUUUUUUUGUUAUUGUGUGAUGUUUCGUUGGAAUAUUGUAAUAUUUGUUUUGAAUGUGAUGUUUCAUUGGAAUAUUGAAUUUUUUUUAUGAAUGUUGAUUUUGUUUGUGAAUGUGAUGUUUCGUUGAUGAAUAAUGUGAUUGUAAUUUUUUUUUGUUGUAAUAUAUGUUUGGAUGUUUUGUUAUUAUGUUUCGUUGGUGGUUGAUGUCCUAUUUAUUGUGAUAUGAAUUUUGAAUAAGUUUUUUUGUGUAUUUAUUUAGUGUAUUUAAUAUUUUAAUUUAUUUUGUUCUUUUGUUUUGAGAUAAUUUUAUACUUGGGGCACCUUUUGAAUAUGUAUUGAUAUUUCUUUGUAUGCUUCUCUAUAUGGGUUAUGCAAAGUUAAAAUUUUGUAAUAUAGAAUUUACUAUAAAUGUAAGGCAUAGAGUGUGGCCUGGUAAGGUUGAGGAAAUUUUUAUAAUGUACAACUCACAAACCAUGUAAGCUGAAGAUGAGGGUAAAUGAUAGGAGAUUCAACUUCUUGAAAUUGAAUCAAUAUUAUUAUUUUUAAGCAUGAAGAAAUUUCCAUAGCAAAGGUAUUAUUUAAAUUAGACAUUGUUGUUUGACUGAUAUUGUACUAAUGCGAAAUAAGUUUGAACAAAAUUUUUAAAAUAUUUUGCAGGUUAUCAUUAUUAGCAAGCUUGCUAAAUUUAGAAGUUUUUACUUCUAUUGGAACAUGAGGUACUAUUUAUCGGUAUAUUUUUUUUAUUAUUAUUUUUUUCUAACUUAAAUUUUUGUUUGAGAAUAUAGGUUUGAUAAAAGUAGCAGCCUUUCUUAAAUAGAAAAAGGAGGUAGUAAGAAUGUAGUGGGAUUUGAAUUUUGUGAUAGAUUUGGGUAGAAAAAGAGCUGUAAGUAGGUAUAGACGUAGAAGAGAGCUAGUUUUAUAGGUUCUAAAUAUUUAGGAAAGUGAUAUAAUUAUAUUAUAUUAUAUUAUAUUAUAUUAUAUUAUAUUAUAUUAUAUUAUAUUAUAUUAUAUUAUAUUAUAUUAUAUUAUAUAUAUUAUAUUAUGUUAUGUUAUAUUAUAUAUUAUAUUAUGUUAUAUUAUAUUAUUAUGUAAUAUACGUAAUAUACAUAUAUAUGCAUACACAUUAUAUUAUAUUAAUAUCUAUUGUAAUUUUUUUUGAAUGGUCUAGCUUGAUGAAUGUGUUAUAUAUGUGUUAUUUUUAUUUUUUUUGUUAUUAUGUGAUGUUUCGUUGGAAUAUUGUAAUAUUUGUUUUGAAUGAGAUGUUUCAUUGGAAUAUUAAUUUUUUUUUUGAUGAAUGUUGAUUUUGUUUGUGAAUGUGAUGUUUCGUUGAUGAAUGUGAUUGUAAUUUUUUUGUGUUGUUAUAUAUGUUUGGAGGUUUUGUUAUUAUGUUCCGUUGGUGGUUGAUGUCCUACUUAUUGUGAUAUGAAUUUUGAAUAAGUUUUUUCGUAUAUUUAUUUAAAAAUUUUGUAAUAUAGAAUUUACUAUAAAUGUAAGACAUAGAGUGUGGCAUGGAAAGGUUGAGGGAAUUUUUGUAAUGUACAACUCACAAACCAUGUAAGUUGAAGAUGAGGGUAAAUGAUAGGAGAUUCAGCUUCUUGAAAUUGGAUCAAUAUUGAUAUUUACAAGCAUGAGGAAAUUUCAAUUGCAAAGGUAUUAUUUAAAUUAGAAAUUGUUGUUUGAAUGAUAUUGUACUAAUGCGAUAUAAGUUUGAACAAAAUUUUAAAAAUAUUUUGAAGGUUGUCAUUCAUAGCAUGCUUGCUAAACUUAGAAGUCUUUACUUUUAUUGGAACAUGAAUUUAUCGGUAUUUUUUUUAUUCUUAUUUCUUUCUAACUUAAAUUUUUGUUUGAGAACACAAAUUUAAUAAAAGUAGCAGCAUUUCUUAAAGAGGAUUUUGUGAUAGAUUAGGGUAGAAAAAGAGCUCUAAGUAGGUAUAGGCGUAGAAGAGGGCUAAUUUUAUAGGUUCUAAAUAUUUAGGAAAGUGAUAUAAUUAUAUUAUAUUAUAUUAUUAUGCAAUAUACGUAUGUAAUAUACAUAUGUAUACAUGUAUAUUAUAUUAUAUUAUAUUAUAUUAUAUUAUAUUAUAUUAUAUUAUAUUAUAAUAUACGAUACUAUAUUAUAUUAUAUUAUAUUAUAUUAUAUUAUAUUAUAUUAUACUAGAUUAAACUAUAUUAAACUAUAUUAUACUAUAUAUAUAUAUAUUAUACUUUAUUAUAUUAUAUUAUAUUAUAUUGUAUUGUAUUAUACGUAAUAUACAUGUGUCCACAUUAUAUUAUAUAACUAUAUAUUAUAUAAAAUGUGUUAUAUAUGUUUACGAUUGUUAUUAAACUUUGUUUGGAAUAUUGUAAUUUUUUUUGAAUGGUCUUGCUUGAUGAAUGUGUUAUAUAUGUGUGUUAUUUUUUAUUGUUUAUUGUGUGAUGUUUCGUUGGAAUAUUGUAAUAUUUGUUUUGAAUGUGAUGUUUCGUUGGAAUAUUGUAAUUUUUUUUGUUGAAUGUUGAUUUUGUUUGAAUGUGAUGUUUCGUUGAUGAAUGUGAUUGUAAUUUUUUUGUGUUGUUAUAUAUGUUUGGAUGUUUUGUUAUUAUGUUUCGUUGGUGGUUGAUGUCCUACUUAUUGUGGUAUGAAUUUUUAAUAUUUUUUUGUGUGUAUCUGUUUAGUUUAUUUGUUAUUGUAUUUAGUAUUCUAGUUUAUUUUGUACUUUUGUUGAGAGAUAGUUUUACAUUGAGGCACUUUUUGAAUAUGUAUUGAUAUUUCUUUGUAUGUCCCUCUAUAUGGGUUUUGCUAAGUGAAAAAUUUGUAAUGUAGAAUUUACUAUAAAUGUAAGACAUAGAGUGUGGCCUGAAAAGGUUGAGUGAAUUUUUGUAAUGUACAACUCACAAACCAUGUAAGCUGAAGAUGAGGGUAAAAGAUGGGAGAUUCAACUUCUUGAAAUUGGAUCAAUAUUGAUAUUUACAAGCAUGAAGAAAUUUCAAUAGUAAUGGUAUUAUUUAAAUUAGAAAUUGUUGUUUGAAUGAUAAUGUACUAAUGCGAUAUAAGUUUGAACAAAAUUUUAAAAAUAUUUUGCAGGUUGUAUUGAUUCUUAGCAAGCUUGCUAAAUUUAGGAAGUCUUUACUUCUCUUGGAACAUGAGGUACUAUUUAUCGGUAUAUUUUUUUUAUUCUUAUAAUUUUAUAACUUAAAUUUUUGUUUCAGAACACAUGUUUGACAAAAGUAGCAACCUUUCUUAAAGAGAAAAGGGAUGUAGUAAGAAUGUAGUGAGAUUUGGAUUUUGUGAUAUAUUUCGGUAGAAAAAGUUCCGUAAGUAGAUACAGGCGUAGAAAAGGGCUAGUUUUAUAGGUUCUAAUAUUUAGGAAAGUGAUAUAAUUAUAUUAUAUUAUAUUAUUAUGUAAUAUACAUAUGUAUACAUAUAUAUCUAUUAUAUUAUAUUAUAUUAUACUAUAUUAUAUUAUACUAUAUUAUACUAUAUUAUAUUAUAUUAUAUUAUAUUAUAUUAUAUAAAAUGUUAUAUAUAUGUUUACACAUUGUUAUUAAAUUUUGUUUGGAAUAUUGUAAUUUUUUUUGAAUGGUCUUUCUUGAUGAAUGUGUUAUAUAUGUGUGUUAUUUUUUUUGUUAUUGUGUGAUGUUUCGUUGGAAUAUUGUAAUAUUUGUUUUGAAUGUGUUGUUUCGUUGGAAUAUUAUAAUUUUUUUGUUAAAUGUUGAUUUUGUUUGUGAAUGUGAUGUUUCUUUGAUGAAUGUGAUUGUAGUAAUUUUUUUGUUAAAUGUUGAUUUUGUUUCUGAAUGUGAUGUUUCUUGAUGAAUGUGAUUGUAAUUUUUUUCUGUUGUUAUAUAUGUUUGAAAGUUUUGUUAUUAUGUUUCGUUGGUGGUUGAUGUCGUACUUAUUGUGAUAUUUGAAUGAGUUUUUUCGUGUAUCUAUUUAUUGUAUUUGUUAUAUUGUAUUUAAUAUUCUAGUUUAUUUUGUACUUUUGUUGAGAGAUAAUUUUACACUUGGGGCACCCUUUUGAAUAUGUAUUGAUAUUUCUUUGUAUAUAUGUCCCUCUAUAUGGGUUGUGCCAAGUGAAAAUUUUGUAAUAUAGAAUUUACUAUAAAUGUAAGGCAUAGAGUGUGGCCUAAAAAGGUUGAGUGAAUUUUUGUAAUAUACAACUCACAAACCAUGUAAGCUGAAGAUGAGGGUAAAAGAUGGGAGAUUCAGUUUCUUGAAAUUGGAUCAAUAUUGAUAUUUACAAGCAUGAAGAAAUUUCAAUAGCAAAUGUAUUAUUUAAAUUAGAAAUUAUUGUUUGAAUGAUAUUGUACUAAUGCGAUAUAAGUUUGAACAAAAUUUUAAAAAUAUUUUGCAGGUUGUAUUGAUUUUUAGGAAACUUGCUAAAUUUAGAAGUCUUUACUUCUCUUGGUACAUGAGGUAUUAUUUAUCGAUAUAUAUUUUUUAUUCUUAUUUUUUUUAACUUAAAUUUUUGUUUGAGAACACAGGUUUGACAAAAGUAGCAACCUUUCUUAAAUAGAAAAGGGAGGUAGUAAGAAUGUCGUGGAAUUUGGGUUUUGUGAUAGAUAUGGGUAGAAAAAGAGCCGUAAGUAGGUAUAGGCGUAGAAGAGGGCUAGUUUUAUAGGUUCUAAAUAUUUAGGAAAUUAAAUGAUAUAAUUAUAUUAUAUUAUUAUGUAAUAUACAUAUGUAUACAUGUAUAUCUAUUAUAUUAUAUUAUACUGUACUAUAUUAUAUUAUUUUAUAUUAUAUUAUACGUAAUAUACAUAUGUCUAUAGAUACACAUUAUAUUAUAUAAAUAUAUAUUAUAUAAAAUGUUAUAUAUAUAUUUACGCAUUGUUAUUAAACUUUUUUUUGAAUAUGGUAAUUUUUUGAAUGGUCUUCCUUGAUGAAUACAAUAUAUGUGUGUUAUUUUUUUAUUGUGUGAUAUUUCGUUGAAAUAUUGUGAUAUUUCGUUGAAAUAUUGUAAUAUUUGUUUUGAAUGUGAUGUUUCGAUGGAAUAUUGUAAUUUUUUUGAUGAAUGUUGAUUUUGUUUGUGAAUGUGAUGUUUCGUUGAUAAAUGUGAUGGUAAUUUUUUUUUUGUUGUUAUAUAUGUUUGGAUGUUUUGUUAUUGUAACAUGAAUUUUGAAUGAUUUUUUUCCGUGUAACUAUUUAGUGUAUUUGUUAUAUUUUAUUUAAUAUUCUAGUUUAUUUUGUACUUUUGUUGAGAGAUAAUUUUACACUUGGGGCACCCAUUUGAAUAUGUAUUGAUAUUUCUUUGUACGUCUCUCUAUAUGGGUUGUGCCAAGUGAAAAUUUUGUAAUGUAGAACUUAUUAUAAAUGUAAGGCAUAGAAUGUUGCCUAGAAAGGUUGGGUGAAUUUUUGUAAUGUACAACUCACAAACCAUGUAAGCUGAAGAUGAGGAUAAAAGAUGGGAGAUUCAG
This 9728-nucleotide long non-coding RNA is filed under the name Panax ginseng (ginseng). RNAcentral describes it as "long non-coding RNA (PGIN_LNC009712)". Lineage: Eukaryota; Viridiplantae; Streptophyta; Magnoliopsida; Apiales; Araliaceae. The record is from RNAcentral.